UACGGGGGGUGCGAGCGUUGUCCGGAAUCACUGGGCGUAAAGGGCGCGUAGGUGGUUUGAUAAGGGUGUGGUGAAAGUCCGGGGCUCAACUCCGGAUCUGCCGUGCCGACUGUCAAACUCGAGGGCUGUAGAGGCAGACGGAAUUCCGGGUGUAGCGGUGGAAUGCGUAGAGAUCCGGAGGAAGACCGGUGGCGAAGGCGGUCUGCUGGGCAGUUUCUGACACUGAGGCGCGAAAGCGUGGGGAGCGAUCCGG
Molecule: ribosomal RNA, 253 nt
Filed under: uncultured bacterium
Lineage: Bacteria
Description: partial 16S ribosomal RNA
Rfam family: Bacterial small subunit ribosomal RNA
Source: RNAcentral